GGGGCUAUGGCUCAGAGGUAGAGCACUCGCCUACCAUGUGUGAGGCGCUGGGUUCGAUCCCCAGCACCACA
RNAcentral lists this transfer RNA (71 nucleotides) under Marmota monax (woodchuck). Its description in RNAcentral is "tRNA.Gly". It matches the Rfam family "tRNA". From Rfam's summary of the family: Transfer RNA (tRNA) molecules are approximately 80 nucleotides in length. Their secondary structure includes four short double-helical elements and three loops (D, anti-codon, and T loops). Further hydrogen bonds mediate the characteristic L-shaped molecular structure. tRNAs have two regions of fundamental functional importance: the anti-codon, which is responsible for specific mRNA codon recognition, and the 3' end, to which the tRNAs corresponding amino acid is attached (by aminoacyl-tRNA synthetases). tRNAs cope with the degeneracy of the genetic code in two manners: having more than one tRNA (with a specific anti-codon) for a particular amino acid; and 'wobble' base-pairing, i.e. permitting non-standard base-pairing at the 3rd anti-codon position. Lineage: Eukaryota; Metazoa; Chordata; Mammalia; Rodentia; Sciuridae. The record is from RNAcentral.